UAGGGAAUCUUCGGCAAUGGACGAAAGUCUGACCGAGCAACGCCGCGUGAGUGAAGAAGGUUUUCGGAUCGUAAAACUCUGUUGUUAGAGAAGAACAAGGACGUUAGUAACUGAACGUCCCCUGACGGUAUCUAACCAGAAAGCCACGGCUAACUACGUGCCAGCAGCCGCGGUAAUACGUAGGUGGCAAGCGUUGUCCGGAUUUAUUGGGCGUAAAGCGAGCGCAGGCGGUUUCUUAAGUCUGAUGUGAAAGCCCCCGGCUCAACCGGGGAGGGUCAUUGGAAACUGGGAGACUUGAGUGCAGAAGAGGGGAGUGGAAUUCCAUGUGUAGCGGUGAAAUGCGUAGAUAUAUGGAGGAACACCAGUGGCGAAGGCGGCUCUCUGGUCUGUAACUGACGCUGAGGCUGGAAAGCGUGGGGAGCAAACAGG
RNAcentral lists this ribosomal RNA (429 nucleotides) under Gemmatimonadota bacterium. RNAcentral describes it as "Gemmatimonadetes bacterium partial 16S ribosomal RNA". It matches the Rfam family "Bacterial small subunit ribosomal RNA", at positions 355 to 776 of the family's 1533-position model. The record is from RNAcentral. Lineage: Bacteria; Pseudomonadati; Gemmatimonadota.